RNAcentral lists this ribosomal RNA (419 nucleotides) under bacterium. RNAcentral describes it as "partial 16S ribosomal RNA". It matches the Rfam family "Bacterial small subunit ribosomal RNA", at positions 355 to 776 of the family's 1533-position model. The record is from RNAcentral.
UGGGGGAUAUUGCACAAUGGGCGAAAGCCUGAUGCAGCGACGCCGCGUGGGGGAUGAAGGCCUUCGGGUUGUAAACUUCUUUUGCUCUGAACAAGGCGCACCAUGGGGUGUGUUGAGUGUAGGGGUUGAUUAGCGCCGGCUAACUACGUGCCAGCAGCCGCGGUAAUACGUAGGGCGCGAGCGUUGUCCGGAAUUAUUGGGCGUAAAGGGCUUGUAGGUGGCUGGUUGCGUCUGUCGUGAAAGCUCAUGGCUUAACUGUGGGUUUGCGGUGGGUACGGGCUGGCUUGAGUGCAGUAGUGGAGGAUGGAAGUCCUGGUGUAGCGGUGGAAUGCGCAGAUGUCAGGAGGAAUACCGGUGGCGAAGGCGGGUCUCUGGGCUGUUACUGACACUGAGGAGCGAAAGCAUGGGGAGCGAACAGG